RNAcentral lists this transfer RNA (475 nucleotides) under uncultured Gammaproteobacteria bacterium. Its description in RNAcentral is "partial 16S-23S ribosomal RNA intergenic spacer". The stretch from base 82 to 155 matches the Rfam family "tRNA". Lineage: Bacteria; Pseudomonadati; Pseudomonadota; Gammaproteobacteria. The record is from RNAcentral.
CCUCCUUUACGAAAUUGAAGCGCCUAUCCGGCGUCAAGCGCUCACACAAAUUGCUUGGUCUUUUGGGUUAAUUCCGAGCUAGGGUCUGUAGCUCAGUUGGUUAGAGCGCACCCCUGAUAAGGGUGAGGUCGGUAGUUCAAAUCUACCCAGACCCACCAUUAUUUCCGCGAUACAUAGUCUUGCGACCCUAUGUGCCGAGUCAGGCACGCCGGGCAGAGCGCGAGAUAGGUCGCUGCGGUCCCUGUAACCACCUUUCGGUGCGCAUGCACCGUUCCGGGGCCAUAGCUCAGUUGGGAGAGCGCCUGCUUUGCAAGCAGGAGGUCGGCGGUUCGACCCCGCCUGGCUCCACCAAAAUUGUCGAUGUUGUAAGCGACUGGUUUCGUUGCAGCAUCUCGCUCUUUAACAAAUUGGAUAUUGAGUCUGAUAAAGGCGCCGACAGAUCGUGUGAACGACCUGUCAUUGGGUGAUUUAUCUA